UACGUAGGUGGCAAGCGUUGUCCGGAUUUACUGGGUGUAAAGGGCGUGUAGCCGGGUUGACAAGUCAGAUGUGAAAUCCUGCGGCUUAACCGCAGAACUGCAUUUGAAACUGUUGAUCUUGAGUACUGGAGAGGCAGACGGAAUUCCUAGUGUAGCGGUGAAAUGCGUAGAUAUUAGGAGGAACACCAGUGGCGAAGGCGGAUUGCUGGACAGUAACUGACGCUGAGGCGCGAAAGCGUGGGGAGCAAACAGG
This 253-nucleotide ribosomal RNA is filed under the name uncultured bacterium. RNAcentral's name for it is "partial 16S ribosomal RNA". It matches the Rfam family "Bacterial small subunit ribosomal RNA", at positions 524 to 776 of the family's 1533-position model. The record is from RNAcentral.